Molecule: ribosomal RNA, 334 nt
Filed under: uncultured bacterium
Lineage: Bacteria
Description: partial 16S ribosomal RNA
Rfam family: Bacterial small subunit ribosomal RNA
Source: RNAcentral
AGCUACUCCGUGCCAGCAGCCGCGGUAAUACGGNGGGUGCAAGCGUUGUUCGGAAUUAUUGGGCGUAAAGAGCGUGUAGGCGGCUUGAUAAGUCAGAUGUGAAAGCCCUGGGCUUAACCCAGGAAGUGCAUUNGAAACUGUCUCNCUAGAAUANGGGAGGGGGAAGUGGAAUUCCUGGUGUAGNGGUGAAAUNCGUAGAUAUUGGGAGGAACACCGGUGGCGAAGGCGGCNAUCUGGNANGCNACUGACGCUGAGACGCGAAAGCAUGGGNAGCAAACAGGAUUAGAUACCCUGGUAGUCCAUGCCGUAAACGAUGGGCACUAGGUGUCGCGGG